GCCUUGGUGGUGUGAUGAUAUAGCACGCAUCCCCGGUAAGAAUGAGACGCGGGUUCGAUUCCUGGUUGAGACA
This is a non-coding RNA of Parelaphostrongylus tenuis, 73 nucleotides long. Lineage: Eukaryota; Metazoa; Nematoda; Chromadorea; Rhabditida; Metastrongylidae. The record is from the annotation of a GenBank genome assembly.